This is a non-coding RNA of Parelaphostrongylus tenuis, 72 nucleotides long. The record is from the annotation of a GenBank genome assembly. Lineage: Eukaryota; Metazoa; Nematoda; Chromadorea; Rhabditida; Metastrongylidae.
GCUUCGGUGGAGCGACGGUUAGCGUGCGCUCCCGGGAAGAGUGAGAUCUGAGUUCAAAUCCCGGCUGACGCA